This 497-nucleotide ribosomal RNA is filed under the name uncultured bacterium. RNAcentral describes it as "partial 16S ribosomal RNA". It matches the Rfam family "Bacterial small subunit ribosomal RNA", at positions 28 to 507 of the family's 1533-position model. The record is from RNAcentral.
GAUGAACGCUGGCGGCGUGCCUAAUACAUGCAAGUCGAGCGAACAGACGAGGAGCUUGCUCCUUUGACGUUAGCGGCGGACGGGUGAGUAACACGUGGGUAACCUACCUAUAAGACUGGGAUAACUUCGGGAAACCGGAGCUAAUACCGGAUAAUAUUUCGAACCGCAUGGUUCGAUAGUGAAAGAUGGCUUUGCUAUCACUUAUAGAUGGACCUGCGCCGUAUUAGGUAGUUGGUAAGGUAACGGCUUACCAAGGCAACGAGACGUAGCCGACCUGAGAGGGUGAUCGGCCACACUGGAGCGGAGACACGGUCCAGACGCCUGCGGGAGGCAGCAGUAGGGAAUCUUCCGCAAUGGGCGAAAGCCUGACGGAGCAACGCGGAGUGAGAGAUGAAGGUCUUCGGAGCGUAAAACUCUGUUAUGAGGGAAAAACAAACGUGUAAGUAACUGUGCACGUCGUGACGGUACCUAAUCAGAAAGCCACGGCUAACUACGUG